Zingiber officinale is the source of this 997-nucleotide long non-coding RNA. RefSeq lists it as uncharacterized. Lineage: Eukaryota; Viridiplantae; Streptophyta; Magnoliopsida; Zingiberales; Zingiberaceae. The record is from RefSeq and is a predicted model, not a curated record. The transcript is spliced from 4 exons.
CGUCUCUCUUCUUUCCCCCACCGAAACCACCUCAUGCCCUAACUGCUCUCUCCCAACAAGCGUGCUACCAAAACCGCCGCUCCCCCGACGCAUCCCAUCUUAUCCUCUCCUCUUCCGAGCUUUUCCCCUCCCUCGUGCCCUAAUCUCUGCUCUACUGCCGUACACCUACCUUUCCUCUUCCACUCCGCCAAGCAACGGCGUUGAUCGUCGGCACAUGAGCACCCUUCGUUUUUUCUCUCGUCUUUGCCCGACGGCGUAGCUGAGCGCCGGCCACCAGGUCUGGUACCAGUCGCUUGUGCCCUAGCUAACCACCGACGCUCGUCGCCCCUCGCUGUGGAGGUCCCAAUGGCGCCGCCGACCUCCCCUGUGCCCUAGCGCUACUGUUUCCCUAUGCCCUAGCGACGACAGCCGGCCGUUAGCGCCCCUUUCCGGCGCCUCCUUCCUUCCGAGCAAUGCAGAUUUGACCUAGGGCUCAAGUUCACCUGCAUAUCUCUCCUCUUUGCCCGAUUCAGUCACAUAAGUCCUCUGUGAUAGUGCUGAUUUAGGGUUUCCGGUGGCCGGAUUGGAGAUUUAAGGCUUGGUCAGUGAUUACAGCUCCGAUCAUCUUUGUGCGUGGGUGAUCCACAACUCUGGGCAUAAACUUACUUUGGAUCAAGAAACGGCAGUGAGGUGAAUUAAGGACUUUGACGCGAGACGAGUAUCUCGACGUCGGAUUUGGACCGGAUACGAUCCUUUCUUAUUGGAGGCAGGUUGAUGCUGUCCGGAGAGUUCCAGUCGCUAGUCCCCUGAAGACCCAGAGUUAUUUGAUCUUUUUGUUAUGUCUCUUAUUGCACUAUUUGGACUUGUAUUAGUUUACCUUAUGGAUACUGUCGAUGAGCUUAUUUGGAUUUGUUUUACUACACGCCUGCCUAGACGGCAGAAGACGUAAGUUGAUUUUAUCGUCAGAUUUGAGCUUUAUGAGUGUAAUGGAGUAGGACAUCAGUUUUGUGCUUUAUGA